RNAcentral lists this ribosomal RNA (497 nucleotides) under uncultured bacterium. RNAcentral describes it as "partial 16S ribosomal RNA". It matches the Rfam family "Bacterial small subunit ribosomal RNA", at positions 28 to 507 of the family's 1533-position model. The record is from RNAcentral.
GAUGAACGCUGGCGGCGUGCCUAAUACAUGCAAGUCGAGCGAACAGAUAAGGAGCUUGCUCCUUUGACGUUAGCGGCGGACGGGUGAGUAACGCGUGGGUAACCUACCUAUAAGACUGGGAUAACUUCGGGAAACCGGAGCUAAUACCGGAUAAUAUUUCGAACCGCAUGGUUCGAUAGUGAAAGAUGGUUUUGCUUUCACUUAUAGAUGGACCCGCGCCGUAUUAGCUAGUUGGUAAGGUAACGGCUUACCAAGGCGACGAUACGUAGCCGACCUGAGAGGGUGAUCGGCCACACUGGAACUGAGACACGGUCCAGACUCCUACGGGAGGCAGCAGUAGGGAAUCUUCCGCAAUGGGCGAAAGCCUGACGGAGCAACGCCGCGUGAGUGAUGAAGGUCUUCGGAUCGUAAAACUCUGUUAUUAGGGAAGAACAUACGUGUAAGUAACUGUGCACGUCUUGACGGUACCUAAUCAGAAAGCCACGGCUAACUACGUG